Anastrepha ludens (Mexican fruit fly) is the source of this 1364-nucleotide long non-coding RNA. RefSeq lists it as uncharacterized. The record is from RefSeq and is a predicted model, not a curated record. The transcript has 2 exons. NCBI's taxonomy places the organism in Eukaryota, Metazoa, Arthropoda, Insecta, Diptera, Tephritidae.
UACUAUAUGUAUGUUUUUAUAUUUUGUUUUUAGAUGGGACAGAAAGCAGACGAAAUAAAAUAAAUAGCCUAAAGGUUUUUAGCAGGGGCAUUUUAAUUUUUGAUGUUUUAAGGCAAAUAUACACAUGUAUAACAAAACAUGGUUAUAUCUCAUAGUUCCAAAAUAUAAUCGAGGCAAUAAUUUCAACUCAGUUAUGCACAGUCACUUCGUACUAAAACUGACUUAUCUGAAAACGACAAUAAACGUUUCCGCAUAUGUAUGUAGGUAAUAUUUCGGACCAAAAUAAAAAACAAAAUUUGAAAUUAACUGUUAUUGUGGUGCAUCAGUUUAACCCGUUGCAACCAAUUCAAAAUGUCAAAAAUAUUUAAAUAAAUAAAUACCUUUUUGUGCUUAUGCGUUUGUCGCUCACGUUGUUGCUCUUUGCGCUGUUGAAACAACUCUGACAAGCAAACGAAGCGUCGUAAACAAAUAUACCAGUGGCAACAAACGAACGCAGCAGCUUAAUAGCAGCAAAGAGGAGAAAUAUUUUCACUUGCAAACAAGAAUGGACAUGUUCGUGAAAACGGCCAACCACCGGCGCGCGCAAAAUAUAUGAGAGAGUAUCAGAUGCGGCAGAAAUGCACGAGUGUUUGAAUUCGAAAGAGAGAAAGAGGGAGAGAGAAAUGUUUCCGAUUUGGGGCAUCUAUCUGUUGCUAUCACUGCUGUUUGCCGGCAGCGGCCCUAUCUAAACAUCAAAGGUGCUUUGGAGUUGUAGUGUAGUUCAAAAGACCUCUUCACAUGCUCAUCAGCUGAUGUCCAUAAACGCAAGCAGGAAGGAGAAUGAUUUAAGAGUGGCUCACUGUUAUUUAUGUUAAGUAGUUAAUUUUACACAUCUCUUUCUUAAUAAUAUCGCUAAUUAGUGUCAAUAGGUGCGAGAAAGAUGUACGCUAAUGUGAAUUAACAUUUAUGUUAGCAGAUGAGUGAGAAAUGAUUUUUUUUUACAGAAUUUUAUCAAAGGGCAAUUGCAGAGAAUUAACUAAAUUUUGACUAGAAAUAUAUUUGUAGACUGUUAACGUGUAUUUUUAUUUUUGUAGACACACACACGACUAAAAUAAUAAAUACACCUACUUAGCCUUUGUUUAUUGUUGAAAAUUGUUAAAUUUGAAAAUUUUAUAGAGUACGAAUCAGACAUUGGUUUGAUAGUAAUAAAUCCAAUAUGGUAAUACCAUUUAAACUGGAAAGGAUAUUGAUAUUUUCCCUAUUUAAGUGAACUUGUCAAUUUGCUGUUAAAGCUAGGUAUUUACUUGGUCAAAAAAUAAGUACACUGUUAACUAUUUCAAGGUGUUUUUAGUAAAUAUAUCAGCUUUUUGAAAUGCUUGAUUUUU